CGGGUGAGUAAUGCAUCGGAACGUGUCCAUGUCGUGGGGGAUAGCCCGGCGAAAGCCGGAUUAAUACCGCAUACGCCCGAGAGGGGAAAGUGGGGGACCGCAAGGCCUCACGCGAUUGGUUCGGCCGAUGUCCGAUUAGCUAGUUGGCGGGGUAAAGGCCCACCAAGGCGAUGAUCGGUAGCUGGUCUGAGAGGAUGAUCAGCCACACUGGGACUGAGACACGGCCCAG
Molecule: ribosomal RNA, 229 nt
Filed under: uncultured bacterium
Lineage: Bacteria
Description: partial 16S ribosomal RNA
Rfam family: Bacterial small subunit ribosomal RNA
Source: RNAcentral